Molecule: long non-coding RNA, 300 nt
Filed under: Brassica rapa (field mustard)
Lineage: Eukaryota; Viridiplantae; Streptophyta; Magnoliopsida; Brassicales; Brassicaceae
Description: long non-coding RNA (BRAP_LNC005343)
Source: RNAcentral
ACAAACCUCUGAAUGAGAUCAGAGGAAGAAAAAAGUUCUUUCAAACAUCGAGGGUAAGGAGAAGAAGAAAACUAGACUUGUCUCGAAGGUUUUUUUUUUCAGAAACAUAAAAAGUUCAAAAUAUAUAAAAAAUAAUAUUGUCUGGAUAUUCUAAAGAUUUCUUUUUAAAAACAUCUUAUGUUUGUUAAAACCGUUACUUUGAGUAUAAAAUAAUUAUGAUGAUAAAUAAUUAAGAAAUAUUGAGAUUGGGAAAUUUAGUAAAUUUAUAUAUACCAAAGUGUAUUUUUCUAGAAAAUUAAA